This 789-nucleotide ribosomal RNA is filed under the name Triticum aestivum (bread wheat). Its description in RNAcentral is "partial small subunit ribosomal RNA". Lineage: Eukaryota; Viridiplantae; Streptophyta; Magnoliopsida; Poales; Poaceae. The record is from RNAcentral.
AUGUUAGAGAAUCUUGUAGAUCUUGAUCUCUCACACAAUAACAUGUUAGGCCCUAUCUCAGCACAAAUGGGUAUGCUUAGGAGUCUAGGACAGUUACUUCUUGAAGCAAACAAAUUCUCUGGAUCCAUACCAAGCAGCUUUGGUAAUCUUAGUUUCUUACAAAACAUCAACUUGUCUAAUAACAAGUUGGGGUCAACGAUACCCCUGAGCCUUUUCCGCCUAAAUAAACUUAUCACAUUGGAUGUUUCUCACAAUUCCAUUGCUGGUGCACUACCAGAUGAUGUUUCUGGUCUAAGACAAAUUGAUCUCUCUUCCAACUUCUUGGUAGGAAGCAUCCUAGAAUCAUUUGGACAACUUGAUAUGCUAACAUACAUAAAUCUAUCGCAUAAAUCCUUCAAAGGCUCAAUUCCCGACCCACUGAGAAAACUAGGAAGCUUAGCAUCAUUAGACCUUUCAUUCAACAAUCUCUCUGGUAUCAUUCCCAUGUUCCUUGCCAACUUUACCUACUUGACUACCUUGAACCUCUUGUUCAAUAGGUUAGAAGGCAAAAUACCCGAGGGGGUUGUUUUCUCAAACAUCACCUUGCAAUCUUUGAUUGGGAAUGCUGGGCUAUGUGGUGCUCAACGCCUAGGAGUGCCGCCAUGCCUUGAUAGAUCUAGAUCAAGUAACAAACACUCGCUAAAAAUUCUACUUCCAACACUCAUAUUAGCCUCUAGUGCCAUUGUCAUUUGCUUGUACUUAUGGUUUGGAAAAAAAACUAAAGAAGGAACAGAACAAUGCUUCUGUUGA